This 445-nucleotide ribosomal RNA is filed under the name uncultured bacterium. RNAcentral's name for it is "partial 16S ribosomal RNA". It matches the Rfam family "Bacterial small subunit ribosomal RNA", at positions 330 to 792 of the family's 1533-position model. The record is from RNAcentral.
CCCAGACUCCUACGGGAGGCAGCAGUAGGGAAUAUUGCACAAUGGGGGAAGCCCUGAUGCAGCGACGCCGCGUGAGCGAUGAAGUAUUUCGGUAUGUAAAGCUCUCUCAGCAGGGAAGAAAAUGACGGUACCUGACUAAGAAGCCCCGGCUAACUACGUGCCAGCAGCCGCGGUAAUACGUAGGGGGCAAGCGUUAUCCGGAUUUACUGGGUGUAAAGGGAGCGUAGACGGCUUGGCAAGCCAGAUGUGAAAGGCUGGGGCUCAACCCCGGGACUGCUCUUGGAACUGCGUGGCUGGAGUGCAGGAGGGGCAGGCGGAAUUCCUGGUGUAGCGGUGAAAUGCGUAGAUAUCAGGAGGAACACCGGUGGCGAAGGCGGCCUGCUGGACUGCAACUGACGUUGAGGCCCGAAAGCGUGGGGAGCAAACAGGAUUAGAUACCCGAGUA